This 85-nucleotide transfer RNA is filed under the name Bacteriophage sp. Its description in RNAcentral is "tRNA-Leu". It matches the Rfam family "tRNA". Rfam says of the family: Transfer RNA (tRNA) molecules are approximately 80 nucleotides in length. Their secondary structure includes four short double-helical elements and three loops (D, anti-codon, and T loops). Further hydrogen bonds mediate the characteristic L-shaped molecular structure. tRNAs have two regions of fundamental functional importance: the anti-codon, which is responsible for specific mRNA codon recognition, and the 3' end, to which the tRNAs corresponding amino acid is attached (by aminoacyl-tRNA synthetases). tRNAs cope with the degeneracy of the genetic code in two manners: having more than one tRNA (with a specific anti-codon) for a particular amino acid; and 'wobble' base-pairing, i.e. permitting non-standard base-pairing at the 3rd anti-codon position. The record is from RNAcentral.
GCGCCCGUGCUGGAAUCUGGUAGACAAAUCAGACUUAGAAUCUGAUGUCCGAAAGGACGUGUGAGUUCGAAUCUCACCGGGUGCA